GGCGAUUUCGGAUAGUGGUUAUUCCGUGGGCCUGCUAAGCUCAUGCCCUUGUGGCUCGCAGGUUCGAAUCCUGCAAUCGUCG
RNAcentral lists this transfer RNA (82 nucleotides) under Taphrina deformans PYCC 5710. Its description in RNAcentral is "tRNA-Ser (GCT) (tRNA-Ser-GCT-1-1)". It matches the Rfam family "tRNA". From Rfam's summary of the family: Transfer RNA (tRNA) molecules are approximately 80 nucleotides in length. Their secondary structure includes four short double-helical elements and three loops (D, anti-codon, and T loops). Lineage: Eukaryota; Fungi; Ascomycota; Taphrinomycetes; Taphrinales; Taphrinaceae. The record is from Rfam by way of RNAcentral.